AUGAUGAUAAGAUAUAUAGGAGGCUUGAUUCUUGUUUAGUUAUUCCUCCACCAAAAGGAAAGAAGCCUAAAGCAAUCAUUAAAUUUCUUGGUGGUGCUUUUAUUGGAGCAGUUCCUGAAGUUACUUAUAGCUAUCUUUUAGGGCUAUUGGCAAAUGAAGGGUAUCUUAUUAUAUCUGUGCCAUAUAAUGUGACUUUUGAUCACUCAAAAGCUGCUACAGAAGUUUAUGACAAGUUUCAUUUGUGUUUGGAUUCGAUUUUAACAUCUGGAUUGCCUAAUGAUGACGUGUCAUCAACUCAACUUGUUGAUCUUCCUCUUUAUUCUGUUGGUCAUAGCAAUGGAGCCCUACUCCAAGUACUCUCUGGAAGCUAUUUCUCUGAGAGGAUACCAAAGGCU
Lactuca sativa (garden lettuce) is the source of this 395-nucleotide long non-coding RNA. RefSeq lists it as uncharacterized. NCBI's taxonomy places the organism in Eukaryota, Viridiplantae, Streptophyta, Magnoliopsida, Asterales, Asteraceae. The record is from RefSeq and is a predicted model, not a curated record.